CGGUUGAUCCUGCCGGAGGUCACUGCUAUUGGAGUUCGAUUAAGCCAUGCGAGUCAAGAGUUCUUCGUGAACUCGGCGGACUGCUCAGUAACACGUGGGUAAUCUACCCUAAGGUCAGGGAUAAUCCCGGGAAACUGGGAAUAAUACCUGAUAGGUGAAGAUGUCUGGAACGAUACUUCGCCUAAAGCUCCGGCGCCUUAGGAUGAGCCUGCGCCCGAUUAGGUUGUUGGUGGUGUAAGGGACCACCAAGCCUGUGAUCGGUACGGGUGUUGAGAGACAUAGCCCGGAGAUGGGGGCUGAGACACGGCCCCAGGCCCUACGGGGCGCAGCAGGCGCGAAAACUACGCAAUGCGCGAAAGCGUGACGUGGGAACUCCAAGUGCCUUGCCUUAGGGUAAGGCUUUUGUUUAGUGUAAGUAGCUAAACGAAUAAGUGCUGGGUAAGACCGGUGCCAGCCGCCGCGGUAACACCGGCAGCGCAAGUGGUGACCGCUUUUAUUGGGCCUAAAGCGUUCGUAGCCGGUUUGGUAAGUCUUUGGGUAAAUCCUCUGGCUCAACCAGAGGAAUUCCGGAGAUACUGCCAGACUUGGAGUUGAGAGAGGUCAGAGGUACCUCUGGGGUAGGGGUGAAAUCCUAUAAUCCUAGGGGGACCACCAGUGGCGAAGGCGUCUGACUAGAGCAAGCUCGACGGUGAGGGACGAAAGCCAGGGGCGCGAACGGGAUUAGAUACCCCGGUAGUCCUGGCCGUAAACGCUGCGCGCUAGGUGUU
Molecule: ribosomal RNA, 767 nt
Filed under: uncultured archaeon
Lineage: Archaea
Description: bacterial SSU rRNA
Rfam family: Archaeal small subunit ribosomal RNA
Source: RNAcentral